AUUGAACGCUGGCGGCAUGCUUUACACAUGCAAGUCGAACGGCAGCGCGGGGGCAACCCUGGCGGCGAGUGGCGAACGGGUGAGUAAUGCAUCGGAACGUAUCCUGUAAUGGGGGAUAACGUAGCGAAAGUUACGCUAAUACCGCAUACGCUCGAGAGAGGAAAGUGGGGGAUCGCAAAGACCUCACGUUAUAGGAGCGGCCGAUGUCCGAUUAGCUAGUUGGUGGGGUAAAGGCCUACCAAGGCGACGAUCGGUAGCUGGUCUGAGAGGAUGAUCAGCCACACUGGGACUGAGACACGGCCCAGACUCCUACGGGAGGCAGCAGUGGGGAAUUUUGGACAAUGGGCGAAAGCCUGAUCCAGCCAUGCCGCGUGCGGGAAG
RNAcentral lists this ribosomal RNA (381 nucleotides) under uncultured bacterium. Its description in RNAcentral is "bacterial SSU rRNA". It matches the Rfam family "Bacterial small subunit ribosomal RNA", at positions 29 to 410 of the family's 1533-position model. The record is from RNAcentral.